RNA transcript from Mirounga angustirostris (Northern elephant seal), 2189 nucleotides. It is a transcript of the gene named small integral membrane protein 15, with no coding region annotated. The record is from RefSeq and is a predicted model, not a curated record. Lineage: Eukaryota; Metazoa; Chordata; Mammalia; Carnivora; Phocidae. The transcript is spliced from 4 exons.
GAAAACAGGGAUGGACGGGACGUGCUGAUGGCGGUGAAGCACCAUCCGCUGCAGCUCCAGGAGCCGCGCAGGUCUGGUUUGGAGAUCAAGCCCGGUCGACCCGUUACGGAAAGAAGAAGGGUAAUACGGAUUCCUCCAGUAUAUAAAAUUUAAACCUUCUCUCACAAGUGUAUGGUAGAGCUAAAGAAGAAGACAAACAAGUAAGGGUCAUCUGAAAUUGUAAUUGGCUCACUAAUAAUCCCAGGACUAAGUUGGAAAGAAGUACUCAAGCAUAAGACAACUACAAAGAUGUUUGAUAUAAAGGCUUGGGCUGAGUAUGUUGUGGAAUGGGCUGCAAAGGACCCAUAUGGCUUCCUUACAACAGUUAUCCUGGCCCUUACUCCAUUGUUUCUAGCAAGUGCAGUACUGUCCUGGAAAUUGGCCAAGAUGAUUGAGGCCAGGGAAAAGGAGCAAAAGAAGAAACAAAAACGUCAAGAAAAUAUUGCAAAAGCUAAACGACUAAAAAAGGAUUGAAGGAAUGAAUGAACAGGCUAUAUAACCGGAGGAACAUCAUUUGGAAAAUUAUUCAGUGUUGAAAGGACCCACUAAGAUUGUGUUCUGAAAUGAAACAUCCUGUGGAGAAAAAUGACUGUACAUUAUGAACUCUAUUCAAAUAACGGCUUAGAAUGGGGUCCUGUUCUGGACGAAGGGAAUUGAGAAUGUAAAAAUCACAACUGUCCAAUGGUGAAAACUGUGCUUUGGCUUAAAGAGGCAUAUAGUAUAUUAUUUACAUCUAUCAUUAUUGCUUAUUUCUUGGCAUAGAAUCAUUUCUGGCUUUCUCAAAGCCACAUAUUAACCAAUGACUGUGUUCUGCAUUUUUCUCAUUUUAGUCUUUGAGAUAAUUAACAGACAUUCUAUAUUUUUUAAAAUCUCAUUUUAUAAGAAUUCUCUUACUGGCUAUUUAGAAUACCACCUACCAGAUAGAACAGUUUUUGUACUUAUGAACCUGCCAUUUUCUUAGAGAUGUCUUGAGUAGAAUAACACUAUGAUCUAAAGCUUGCAGUAAAAAUGCCAAACCUUGUGGUACCUUGGAACCAGUGUAUUCUUUAUUGUGCUAUGUAGAAAUGUAAAGUAGUUAAAAUGUCUUAUCACAUAAUUUGCUCAUUACAUAGAUGGCCACUUUUGUGUUUUUAUUCAUUUCUUCAUUUUAAUUUAUCUAGUAGUGAUGUUCUAUACUUUCUGAUCAAACAGGUUCAUGUGAAAAUUAAAACUUCAUACUUCUCUUAAAGAAUUCUUAGAAAGUAAUAGUUAAGUACUAUUUCAUAAGUGGUAAAGGUUUAACAUUUGGAAAAAUUUUGUUCAUCAUACUAGUAAUUGGGUGAAAAAGACAAAUUAUGUCAAAAUGAGGAUGUGUUAAAAUUAGAAAUAAAGAGCUAAAGGAUAUUUCCUUCAGCUAAGUAGUAUAACUGGAAUUUUUUACUGUUAAACAUGGCUUUUAUAAAUGCGUAGUCUAAUAAUUUUAUUCACUGUCAGUAUAUAAUAGCUUAUUAACGUUUUCCUCACCUCUGAUAAUGAAUUUUAAAUUACAAAAAAAUUGUCCACCAGCUUUAAUUUAAAAAUGAAACUAGAUAUUGAAAUAAAUUUGAUACUUUUUUAUAAAGAGGUCCUGGGUUUUUUUUUUUUUUUAAAGGGGGGUUAAUAAUAAGGUAAUUAAGUUAGAUGUGUUACAGAAGUUAGACUUUUAAGAGGGUUUUGAGUUUCAUUUCUUUUUUUUUUUUUUUAAGAUUUUAUUUAUUUAUUUGAGAGAGAAUGAGAGACAGCACAAGAGGGAAGAGGGUCAGAGGGAGAAGCAGACCCCCCGCUGAGCAGGGAGCCCGAUGUGGGACUCGAUCCCGGGACUCCAGGAUCAUGACCUGAGCCGAAGGCAGUCGCUUAACCAACUGAGCCACCCAGGUGCCCCGAGUUUCAUUUCUAGCCAAAAGCCUACUUAAAAAAGUUAAGGGCAAUGUUUCUCAACUAUGAAAACAUAAGGACUCCUGAGAAUGCUUAUGGAUUGGUCUAAACACUAGUACUUUCACUUUAGGUUGUCAGUUUCUACUUGGUGCCAGUGGAAUGAACAUAUUGCAACUCCAGGCACUAAGAUAAUUCAGUGUUCCGUUCCGUUACUUUAGCGAUCUAGGAUAUCUAGUGAUCUUUUUAUUGUCACUGAA